UACGCAGGGAGCUAGCGCUGUUCGGAAUCACUGGGCGUAAAGCGCACGCACGCGGAUCGAUAAGUCGGGGGUGAAAGCCCGGGGCUCAACCUCGGAAUUGCCUUCGAUACUGUCGGUCUCGAGUCCGGGAGAGGUGAGUGGAAUUCCUAGUGUAGAGGUGAAAUUCGUAGAUAUUAGGAAGAACACAAGUGGCGAAGGCGGCUCACUGGCCGGGUACUGACGCUCAGGUGCGAAAGCGUGGGGAGCAAACAGG
Molecule: ribosomal RNA, 253 nt
Filed under: uncultured bacterium
Lineage: Bacteria
Description: partial 16S ribosomal RNA
Rfam family: Bacterial small subunit ribosomal RNA
Source: RNAcentral